GUGUUGGGCCAGAUCGACUCAGUCAACAGCAGGCCCAAUUUGACCAUUCGCUACUCGCCGCGAGCCAACACCUCCCACGAUCCCUAGAUGAGUUACGAUGUCCUACUUUGGCGGACCCGUACCACAGCGGCCCGAUUUAACCAAUCAAAAGACAGUAUACGAGACGGGUUAUGGAAAGCAGGUGCUGUAGUUCAUGAAUAAUUAUGUAGUAAACGACAGAAAGGUGCUUAGGAAUCAGCAUCGCUGUACGGUGGGAUUCAAGCCGAAUAAACGGGUUAUCAGGUUGAGAUUAGGAAUCCGCAUCGCUGUACGGUGGGAUUCAUGUCGAAUAAGCGGGUAAUCGGGUCUACGGUUCGUUCUUGCCCCCGACCGACCCAAAGAUGCAUUCGGCGUCCCGCCACCACGCCUCCCUCGUCCACCUGCUCCAACUCCACUAGUUCCGACCCAAAGCCGCCCUCGACCACCACCCAUUCGUCGCUUCCAAGCUCAUCUUCUCUCUCCGUCGCCGAUGCCUGCCCCGUUCUUCGUUUGGAACUCCCUUAUCCGUGCGUUCCCGGGUUCGGACUUCCACCCAUCCGCUUGUUCUCAAAACCUAUCGCCGAGUUUCCGUGUUGCGACUCGGUGAAAUGGUUUAUGCGCCGGCCUUAAAUGCGGGGCGUUUGCUGGAUUUCUACGUUGGCGGGCCCUCUCUUAGUGGGAUGUCCUGAAGCGCUCGGAAGGUAUUCGAUGGAAUGGGUGUUUGGGAUGUCGUUUCAUGAAGCUCCAUAAUUCAAGGAUGUCUUGCAUGGUAGGUGUUACGGUAAGAAACAUUUUUUAGCCGUGACCUCUGUGUCGACGCGGCUGGUUCAGGGCUCCAAAUGGCUGGGAUCAGACGUGGCUUCCCCGGGGGUGCUGUGGUGACUGAUGUAGGGGAUAUGAUUGGAAAGUUCCACGGCGUCAAGUGGGUUCGACGGCGGUCGAGUACCUGCACACAGGUCGGGUCGGUGGUUCGGCCCGACCCCUCCGACGAUCAAGUCAGUGAUGGUGGAGAGGAGUUUUUGAGUGAGAUCGUCCCCCUUCCUAUUGGGAGCCAGAGGGUAUUUAUAAGUAGGUUUGAUGUUACCUGAUGUGCCAUCCUGCCGGGGCAGGGUCGUACCUCCGAUGGCGUCUGUUGUCGUGGUCGUUGCGUGGAAGGCCGAGCUGCCGCAGGGUAUGGGGGGUGUCAGUCAGCGCCAUCCCCUGCCUCGGCCGGCCAUGAGGGGUCAGCCGAGGAGGUUGUUUGGGUAUGGUGGGUGUGGGUGCGCGUCGUGUCGUUGUUAAUGCACGUUCUGGGGCAGUGUGCCGCACAGGGUGUCCGACGUGGGGGUGCAUUACGUCAAAUCCGGGGUGUUAUGUCAAAUCAGUUUUUUUACCCGUAUCAGUAGGCAUUUUCAAAAAGGUGAAGGUGGCUUCGUGGCAACUCUCAUACUGGUGCCUCGGAAACUCAAAUCACAGAAUCAGCAAAAAGUUGUCGCAGACACUUCUCUCAAUCUAUCAACUUGCAAAUUCAUACUGGCCCAUGGCACAUGGCUCAUUCAAAUGUGGUAUGGGAAUGGGCCGUUUUGGAAAAUAUUCAUGGUGCAUGUAGAAACCCUGUAUAUGCUCAAGUCUAGGACCGAAAAUGGAUUAAUGUGUACCAUAUGUUGAAAAAGAUUAGGUGCAAAAUAUGCUUAUUAAUAGGUGAUCAUAUUGAUUAUAAUACCAUGAACAUACUAGGUGCAGAAUGAACCUUUUUUUUUAGUUUUAUGCAGUGUUUAUUGGUAA
This is a long non-coding RNA of Musa acuminata AAA Group (dessert banana), 1782 nucleotides long. RefSeq lists it as uncharacterized. The transcript has 2 exons. Lineage: Eukaryota; Viridiplantae; Streptophyta; Magnoliopsida; Zingiberales; Musaceae. The record is from RefSeq and is a predicted model, not a curated record.